GUCGGGAGUCUUGCACAAUGGGGGAAACCCUGAUGCAGCGACGUCGCGUGUGGGAUGAAGUAUUUCGGUAUGUAAACCACUUUUGCGGGGGGCGAAAAAAAUGACGGUACCCCGCGAAUAAGCCCCGGCUAACUACGUGCCAGCAGCCGCGGUAAUACGUAGGGGGCGAGCGUUGCUCGGAUUGACUGGGCGUAAAGCGCGCGUAGGCGGUCCAUUAAGUGUGCGGUGAAAUUCGGAGGCUCAACCUCCGUCCCGCCGCGCAAACUGAUGGUCUUGAGAUUGGGAGGGGGAUGCGGAAUUCCUGGUGUAGCGGUGAAAUGCAUUGAUAUCAGGAGGAACACCGGCGGCGAAAGCGGCAUCCUGGCUUAUAUCUGACGCUGAGGCGCGAAAGUGUGGGUAGCAAACGGGAUUAGAUACCCCGGUAGUCC
This 428-nucleotide ribosomal RNA is filed under the name uncultured bacterium. Its description in RNAcentral is "partial 16S ribosomal RNA". It matches the Rfam family "Bacterial small subunit ribosomal RNA", at positions 354 to 796 of the family's 1533-position model. The record is from RNAcentral.